GAAAAGCCAUCUUUGCAUUGUUCCCAGGACCGGCUCUCUGCUCCCCGCAGCCACCUCCGCCGCGCUCCUUCUUCUCCGCCGCUGCGGACUCCGGCACCUCUCUCGCCAGAGUCCCCAAACUCUUGCAUUCUUUGUCAUUCUCUCUAUCGGAUCACCGGCGUGCCCCAUCAUGUCAGACGCGGCUGUGGACACCAGCUCCGAGAUCACCACCAAGGACUUGAAGGAGAAGAAGGAGGUUGUGGAGGAAACAGAAAAUGGAAGAGACGCACCCGCUAAUGGGAACGCUAACGAGGAAAAUGGGGAACAGGAGGCUGACAAUGAGGUAGACGAGGAAGAGGAAGAAGGUGGGGAGGAGGAGGAGGAAGAGGAAGAAGGUGAUGG
This is a long non-coding RNA of Chrysochloris asiatica (Cape golden mole), 381 nucleotides long. RefSeq lists it as uncharacterized. The transcript has 3 exons. Lineage: Eukaryota; Metazoa; Chordata; Mammalia; Afrosoricida; Chrysochloridae. The record is from RefSeq and is a predicted model, not a curated record.